GAUGAACGCUGGCGGCGUGCCUAAUACAUGCAAGUCGAGCGAACAGACGAGGAGCUUGCUCCUCUGACGUUAGCGGCGGACGGGUGAGUAACACGUGGAUAACCUACCUAUAAGACUGGGAUAACUUCGGGAAACCGGAGCUAAUACCGGAUAAUAUAUUGAACCGCAUGGUUCAAUAGUGAAAGACGGUUUUGCUGUCACUUCUAGAUGGAUCCGCGCCGCAUUAGCUAGUUGGUAAGGUAACGGCUUACCAAGGCAACGAUGCGUAGCCGACCUGAGAGGGUGAUCGGCCACACUGGAACGGAGACACGGUCCAGACUCCUACGGGAGGCAGCAGUAGGGAAUCUUCCGCAAUGGGCGAAAGCUUGACGGAGCAACGCCGCGUGAGUGAUGAAGGUCUUCGGAUCGUAAAACUCUGUUAUUAGGGAAGAACAAAUGUGUAAGUAACUAUGCACGUCUUGACGGUACCUAAUCAGAAAGCCACGGCUAACUACGUG
RNAcentral lists this ribosomal RNA (497 nucleotides) under uncultured bacterium. RNAcentral's name for it is "partial 16S ribosomal RNA". It matches the Rfam family "Bacterial small subunit ribosomal RNA", at positions 28 to 507 of the family's 1533-position model. The record is from RNAcentral.